RNAcentral lists this ribosomal RNA (240 nucleotides) under uncultured Lactobacillus sp. RNAcentral describes it as "partial 16S ribosomal RNA". It matches the Rfam family "Bacterial small subunit ribosomal RNA", at positions 122 to 354 of the family's 1533-position model. Lineage: Bacteria; Bacillati; Bacillota; Bacilli; Lactobacillales; Lactobacillaceae. The record is from RNAcentral.
UAACCUGCCCAAGAGAUCGGGAUAACACCUGGAAACAGAUGCUAAUACCGGAUAACAACAGAUGAUGCCUAUCAACUGUUUAAAAGAUGGUUCUGCUAUCACUCUUGGAUGGACCUGCGGUGCAUUAGCUAGUUGGUAGGGUAACGGCCUACCAAGGCGAUGAUGCAUAGCCGAGUUGAGAGACUGAUAGGCCACAUUGGGACUGAGACACGGCCCAAACUCCUACGGGAGGCAGCAGAC